This 460-nucleotide ribosomal RNA is filed under the name uncultured bacterium. RNAcentral's name for it is "partial 16S ribosomal RNA". It matches the Rfam family "Bacterial small subunit ribosomal RNA", at positions 338 to 795 of the family's 1533-position model. The record is from RNAcentral.
CCUACGGGAGGCAGCAGUGAGGAAUAUUGGUCAAUGGACGCAAGUCUGAACCAGCCAUGCCGCGUGCAGGAAGACGGCUCUAUGAGUUGUAAACUGCUUUUGUACGAGGGUAAACGCAGAUACGCGUAUCUGUCUGAAAGUAUCGUACGAAUAAGGAUCGGCUAACUCCGUGCCAGCAGCCGCGGUAAUACGGAGGAUUCAAGCGUUAUCCGGAUUUAUUGGGUUUAAAGGGUGCGUAGGCGGUCGGAUAAGUUAGAGGUGAAAUCCCGAGGCUCAACUUCGGAAUUGCCGUUGAUACUGUUCGUCUAGAGAGUAGUUGCGGUAGGCGGAAUGUAUGGUGUAGCGGUGAAAUGCUUAGAGAUCAUACAGAACACCGAUUGCGAAGGCAGCUUACCAAGCUACUUCUGACGUUGAGGCACGAAAGCGUGGGGAGCAAACAGGAUUAGAUACCCUGGUAGUC